This 468-nucleotide ribosomal RNA is filed under the name uncultured bacterium. RNAcentral's name for it is "partial 16S ribosomal RNA". It matches the Rfam family "Bacterial small subunit ribosomal RNA", at positions 28 to 507 of the family's 1533-position model. The record is from RNAcentral.
GACGAACGCUGGCGGCGUGCUUAACACAUGCAAGUCGAACGGAAAGGCCCUGCUUUUGUGUGGUGCUCGAGUGGCGAACGGGUGAGUAACACGUGAGUAACCUGCCCUUGACUUUGGGAUAACUUCAGGAAACUGGGGCUAAUACCUGAUAGGUGCUCCUGCUGCAUGGUGGGGGUUGGAAAGUUUCGGCGGUUGGGGAUGGACUCGCGGCUUAUCAGCUUGUUGGUGGGGUAGUGGCUUACCAAGGCUUUGACGGGUAGCCGGCCUGAGAGGGUGACCGGCCACAUUGGGACUGAGAUACGGCCCAGACUCCUACGGGAGGCAGAAGUGGGGAAUAUUGCACAAUGGGCGGAAGCCUGAUGAAGCAACGCCGCGUGCGGGAUGACGGCCUUCGUGUUGUAAACCGCUUUCGCCUGUGACGAAGCGUGAGUGACGGUAAUGGGUAAAGAAGCACCGGCUAACUACGUG